Antechinus flavipes (yellow-footed antechinus) is the source of this 285-nucleotide long non-coding RNA. RefSeq lists it as uncharacterized. The record is from RefSeq and is a predicted model, not a curated record. The transcript is spliced from 2 exons. Lineage: Eukaryota; Metazoa; Chordata; Mammalia; Dasyuromorphia; Dasyuridae.
AAGCGGUUCUUCAGCCUCAGUCCGGCCUACAGUGGACAACGAAAUCGAUUCGGCAUUUGAUUCGGCAUUUGGGAGAGUAUUUAAGAAGUUGGGGUUCCUCCAUUCAUUGCUGGAGAAUGGCAUCUGGCAGCUGUAUGCUGGACGCUGGAUUCUUUGGGUCCUCCAGCCCUGGGACCAAUAUGGAUUCCUUGGUCCCAGUAUACUUAUCUCUGUCUGACUGGAUAAUCUGAGACGAGAGUCCUGUCCAGUCAAUCUUACUCUCCCAUUAAUAAAAUAUUAAAAACU